GAAAGCGUGGGUAGCGANCAGGAUUAGAUACCCUGGUAGUNCACGCCGUAAACGAUGAGUGCUAGGUGUUAGGCCCUUUCCGGGGCUUAGUGCCGGAGCUAACGCAAUAAGCACUCCGCCUGGGGAGUACGACCGCAAGGUUGAAACUCAAAGGAAUUGACGGGGGCCCGCACAAGCGGUGGAGCAUGUGGUUUAAUUCGAAGCAACGCGAAGAACCUUACCAGGUCUUGACAUCCCGAUGCUAUUCUUAGAGAUAGGAAGUUACUUCGGUACAUCGGAGACAGGUGGUGCAUGGUUGUCGUCAGCUCGUGUCGUGAGAUGUUGGGUUAAGUCCCGCAACGAGCGCAACCCUUAUUGUUAGUUGCCAUCAUUAAGUUGGGCACUCUAGCGAGACUGCCGGUAAUAAACCGGAGGAAGGUGGGGAUGACGUCAAAUCAUCAUGCCCCUUAUGACCUGGGCUACACACGUGCUACAAUGGUCGGUACAACGAGUUGCGAGCCGGUGACGGCAAGCUA
Molecule: ribosomal RNA, 515 nt
Filed under: uncultured bacterium
Lineage: Bacteria
Description: bacterial SSU rRNA
Rfam family: Bacterial small subunit ribosomal RNA
Source: RNAcentral